RNAcentral lists this long non-coding RNA (7641 nucleotides) under Populus tremula. RNAcentral describes it as "long non-coding RNA (PTRE_LNC002373)". Lineage: Eukaryota; Viridiplantae; Streptophyta; Magnoliopsida; Malpighiales; Salicaceae. The record is from RNAcentral.
CCUUUAACACGUUUCCAAUCACAACAAAAGCUAUAUAAGUAAUAGGUAGUGACCGAUGGAAGCCAGCAAUCCACCUAAGUCAGGUAAGCAGAUGUUGUUAGAAUCUUGGAUUGCUUCCCGUCUUGUUUCUCAACUUCUUCUUUUAUAACCUCUUCCUCGUCCUUUUUAGCCUCAUUUUUCUCUACCAUUUCAGCUUCCUUCAUACUGAUGAACUCGAUGAGACUUUGAAGAACAACUUGAGGCUCGUCACGUUUCAUAAGCUGCUGUGCGACUUCUGCUGGGGUAAUAACAGGACUUUGAAGGAGAUCUUCGAUGCAUUUGAAAAGGACAUGCUCUUUAAUUCCAAGAUAUGUAAAGGCAAGCUUCCUGAAUGCUGCAGGAGUACAAUGGCCCAUGUAAAUAUGAACAUCCAUUCGUCCUGGUCGCAACAAUGCUGGGUCCAACUUCUCUUUGUAAUUUGUCGUGAAAAUGAUUAUUCUUUCAUCCCCGCAGCUUGACCAUAGCCCGUCAAUGAAGUUCAACAAACCAGAUAAGGUCACCUGUGAGAAGAUUUAAAGAGAAAUAUGGAAUAUGGAAUUGGAAAACUAGGAGACAAUAAGGCAUCGCCUUGAUUAAUGAAUGUUUUCCUUCCAAAUCAAUUCUAGUUUUUUUUUUUUUUUUAAAUAUCAUUUUUGGUGACUUUACAUAAGCAUAACAUGAUGUUAUUUAUGAAGUCUAAUCAGUAAGGAUUGCUGUUAAGUUCCGAAUAAAAUAAACAGGGGACAUUAAUUCUUUCAGGACUCACUUACCCCAGGAUCAAAAGAAAGCUUAUUAUCAAGUUGAUCACCCCCCUCAUCAUCAUCAUCAUCUUGUUCUUCUUUUGGAUUCUUAUUUCGAUCGCGAGAACGUGAAGAUUUUGUACCGCAGUCAAUGUCCUCAAUGAGAAGAAUGGAACGAUUGGUGGUGGAGGUGAGUAUCCUCCUCAGUUGAGCAUCAUUCCUUACACCUUGAAGCUGGAGAUCAUAGAUGUUGAAUCUGGAGAUAGUUUGCAAUGGCAGCGACGAGGGUGGAUUUUCCAGUCCCUGGUGGACCGUAGAGAAGGUACCCUCUUUUCCAAGCUCUACCAACACUCUGAAAGUAGUCCUUUCUUUGCACGAACAAGUCGAGAUCUUCAAUUAUGAACUUCUUCAGGUCAGGGUCCAUUGCCAGAGUGUCAAAGGUAGCUGGAUGCUUGAACACAGUAGAUUCCCACAUAGAAUCCUCAUUAUCAUAAGUAUAGAUAUUGAGGGUCUCUCUGUUGUUCAAGAUUGCAGCUGCAGUCUUGCUAAUGUGUGGCAAGUAGCUUUGCAUGACUUGUUCUCUAUAAUUAUUUUUGCAUUUCAAUUGGAAGUAUUUUUUUUGCUGAUGGUAAUACUUGUUGCCUUCUUUCUCACAGAGAGUCCAUUCAAAAUGCAUACCUUGGAAAAAAUCAACAACUUUAGCAUCAACAGGAAUCCCUGGUUUUGGUGGGGCAAAGAUGUUGUUGGUAUCAUUGGUGCCUAAGAGAAGGCUUUUAGGAAGGGCCAACUUUGGUUGGAAGAUAGACCUCAACAGCUCGAAAGGUUUCAUUCUCCACAGCUUGCCAUCGGUCUUCAAUGAUGAAGGUGAAGUCUGAGGAGAAGUAGGAGCAAAGAAAUCUGAAAAGCUUUAGCUAUCAGUCACGCAUACCCCUUGGAAUCAUUUCAUUCAAUAUGGUGCGGAUUAGCAUGGAUAAACCAGAUAUGGAUGCGUAUAUAGAGAGGAUUGUGCUCAUGGAGGGCAAUUCCUUCAAGAGAGAAGCCAUUUCAGAUUUCGAAAAGCAAGCAAAGAACGAUGGAGGAGAGUAUGUGCAGAGAGAAGGCGAAGCUUGGUCACUUGUAUGGGAUGAGCAAGGUUAUUUAUAGACCAAAGAGGGAAUGGAAUUAUUGUUUGGAAUUGUCCACGAAAAUUAGCUCGAAUUUCUUUGGUUUGUAAACGCGUGAUAAGAUGGAAAAGAUAUCUCCCGUCUACAGCUAGCGGAGAGAGCACUGCUGUGCUUUGUUUGGAGAAACCUCAUAGAAUGUGCUUUGUUUAGAGAAACCUCAUAGAAUGUGCUAGGAAAGGAACAAUACAGAAAACGCUCAUUGAAAAAGGGUACUUAACUGAAGAUGAAGAAGCAGUGCAGACAUCUUAUGGUCACCUCAUUCACACUUGAAUAAUGAGAAGGGUGGGAAAUGGGCAAGAACCUUCCCUUCCUUUCCAGAUAAGCUCGAGGGAAUUGAACGGAAAUUGCCAUAUCUCCCCUUUCAUAAGGUCUUAUUAGCUGUAAUCUUGCAGUUUAAACCAUAUUUCAGAUAAUAAAGUGCAGGAAUAUACCUUCUGCCACCAUUAACCUCUUCCACUCGGGCUUCUUUAGUAAUGGAACACAGCAUCCGCCCCCCCCCCCCCCUAUUCGCAUUUAAAAUUUAAUUUAAUUUUUUUUUGUAAAAUAACAAAGCCCACAAAGUAUAACAAAAUCAUGAUUGAAAAAUAUGAAUUAAAUAAAUAUGGCGUUUCUUAAUAUGAAUCACAACAGGCUAAAACUGUACUAUUCCACGUAUGAGCAUAGAAAUUCCAUAAAAGACGACAUUAAUUUAGCCGAGAAGUCAGAAGACUUUCUUCAAGAACAAGACAUCUUUGGAACCAUGAGAUUACCUCUUCCCUAGCAGAUGCCACUCAUUCUCGUACAAAUACACAAGCUCUUAACGUCUAGAUAAAUACACCUCUAUGAAAGGUGUCAAUGCAUUUCCGAUGCUAUUUAUUUCUGAAUCUCUCCUGGUAAGAACGAAGAAAAUCAUGGAUCUCAAUCACACAUAGAUGAGACAUUAAACGGAUGAAAAUGAACAAGAAAGUACAACUUCAGUCCUUUCCCUCGCUCAAAGACCUUUGCACUGUUACAGGUAGAAGAAGAAGAAAUUGAAUAAAAGGAACUACGGCAGGCCACGUAUUCAAAAGUUAGUUAUCCUUACACACGCGAGCCACGCAUUCAAAAGUUAAUUAUAGAAGUCAUACGCGUCGUUUCAUUUAAAUAACCAUACGCACCGUUUCAAUUCCAUAAAACAGCUGCAUGGCAGUUAGCACACAGCCUGCGUGCUGAAGGUUUUCAUAACCAAUUAGCAUUGCAAUAUUCUAUAUAAAGGCAUAUGCAUGAUAACAGGAAAAAAAAAACAAGAAUUAUAAUGAAAGAUUGAAUUCCUUAUUAUCAGGUAACAAAUAUCAGUGUGUUGUUGGUGUGGUAUCAACAACUUCCGAAAAUCCUCUCUAUCAAAUCCUAUUACAGCAUUAACCAUCACUGGAGACCAUCCAAUUUGGUUCCAUCAUUUCUUCAUCCCUACAAAAUACAAGCCAUUCAGGAAUGGCUAAUGCCUACAGGAUUAAAAUAACUAUGGGGGGUUUUGGGGUUGACUGGUUACUAUAGAAGAUUUGUCAAGGGCUAUGGUAGCAUUUGCAAACCACUCACUCAAUUACUCAAGAAAGAGGCCAAAGGCUGGAAUGAAGCGGCCACCACAACUUUCAAUCAGUUGAAAACAAUUAUGACUAGUGCUCCAGUACUAGCUCUACCAGAUUUCAACAAAACGUUCAUCGUGGAGACAGAUGCAUCCAUAAUUGGUGUGGGAGCAAUACUUAUGCAAGAUGGACACCCCAUUGCAUUCAUUAGCAAAUCUUUGGGUCCUAAACAAUAAGUAAUGUCAGUAUACGAGUGGGAAAUGCUGGUCAUUCUCCAGGCAGUCACCAAAUGGAAGCAUUAUCUCUGGGGACGCCAUUUUAUCAUCAAAACAAACCACAUAAGUUUGAAAUAUCUUCUACAGCAGAAGCUGACUACCCCUGCACAACACGUAUGGUUGGUGAAGUUAUUGGGGUACGACUACGAUAUAGAAUACAAGCAAGGCCGCGAAAAUGUUCCUGCAGAUGCCCUUUCCAGAAUUCCUAACAAAGAGGUAUAUGCUCUGACCACUUCACCAUUUCCACUGACAUCCUGGCAUAAAUCAAGAAUUCCUAUGAAGAUGACGUUACAGUUCAAGGAAUUAUUAAACAGUUACAAGAGUCUACUAACACCCAUCCACACUACACUUGGGUAAAUGAUCACCUUAACAGAAAAGGGAAGGUGGUAGUAGGGAAGAAUCCUGCAUACAGAACAAGCUCAUUUCCAUGUUUCAUAGUUUAGCUGUUGGAGGACACUCGGGCAUGACAAUAACAGCUAAAAAAAUUAGGGGGUUAUUUUAUUGGAAGGGUCAGCAGAAACACAUCAGGCAAUUCGUCAGGAAUGCAAUGUGUGCCAGAGGAAAUAAACAUGAAACACAGCCAGUCCCUGGACUCCUUCAACCAUUACCCAUUCCUUCAGCUCCAUUCAUCGACAUCAACAUGGAUUUCAUUGAAGGCUUCCCAAAUCUGAAGGGAGGAGGUGAUAUUAGUGGUGGUGAUCGUUUCAGCAAAUACGCACACUACAUGGCUCUCAGUCAUCCUUACUCUGCCUCAGGGGUGGCCAAACCUUUAUGAACAAUGUCUAUAAACUACACGGAUUACCAACCUCGAUAACCAGCGACAGAGAUCCAGUCUUUUUGAGCAGGUUUUGAAAAGAAUUAUUCACUAGUCAAGGGGUCAACCUUAACUAUUCCUCAGCCUACCACCCACAGACAGACGACCAAACUGAAAUUGUUAACAAAUGCAUCGAACAAUAGUUACGCUGCAUGACUGGUGAUUGCCCGAACCAGUGGGUCAAGUGGUUACCUUUGGCUGAAUGGUGGUACAAUACCAACUACCACUCAGCCACCAAAUGACACCUUAUCAAGUUUUAUAUGGAGUUGUUCCACCCCUACACAUUCCCUAUUUCCCUAAAGAUUCAGCUGUGGAAUCAGUUGAUAAGUACUUAUCAGCUAAAGAAGAAGUCAUCAAGAGGGUCAGGGAACAUCUCCAAGCAGCACAGAACAUGAUGAUUAUGGUGGCUAACAAGAAAAGGAGUGAUCGCAGUUUUGAGAUUAAUGACUAUGUCUUCCUCAAAAUCCAACCAUACAGGCAACAUUCAUUGGUGUAGGUCCUCACAGAAGUUAGCAACAAAAUAUUAUGGGCCUUAUCGGGUAUUGGCUAAGAUAGGAAAGGUGGCUUACAAGCUGGAAUUGCCAGUUUCAACACUUAUUCAUCCAGUGUUCCAUGUUUCUCAGCUUAAAAAACAUAUUGGAAAUCACACAAUACAAGGCACUCCUCCGAUGAUACCAAAAACAGCUGCUCUACAGCCUCGUACAGUGUUAGACCGAAGAAUGGUGAAACUUCACAAUCAAGCACACACUCAAGUAUUGAUACUCUAGGAAGGACUAGCUCUUACUAAGGCUACUUGGGAAGACCUGGAGGAGAUUCAGCUGCGCUUUCAACUUUUCAACCUUGAGGACAAGCUUGGUUUCAAGGGGAGGCAAUUGUUACAGGCAGAAGAAGAAGAAAUGGAAUAAAAGAACUAAGGCAGGCCACGCAUUUAAAAGUUAGUUAUCCUUACACACGUGAGCCACACAUUCAAAAGUUAGUUAUAGAAGCCAUAUGCACCAUUUCAUUUAAGUAACCAUACACACCGUUUCAAUUCCAUAAAACAGUUGCAUGGCAGUUAGCACACAGCCUGCGUGCUGAAGGUUUUCAUAACCAAUUAGCAUUGCAAUAUUCUAUAUAAAGGAAUAUGCAUGAUAACAGGGAAAAAAAAACAAGAAUUAUAAUGAAAGAUUGAAUUCCUUAUUAUCAGGUAACAAAUAUCAGUGUGUUGUUGGUGUGGUAUCAACAACUUCCAAAAAUCCUCUCUAUCAAAUCCUAUUACAGCAUUAACCAUAACUGGAGACCAUCCAAUUUGGUUCCAUCAUUUCUUCACCCUUAACACAUAAGCUAAAAAAGGAUCCAAAGAAAGUUGCACAAAGUUCAAGAACAUAUGAGAAGUAGCAAGAUUUUUUCAUUGCCUUGUAUUUUCCCUUAUCAACAUAUAUUAUAAAUCUAAAUUUCUCUUUGAAGUUUAGUAGUAAUACUCUUUCACAAACUAAUUGGCAAACAAAAUCUUUAAAUAGAAUUUUGGGUAAUUUAAUUCCUUCAAACAUAGUGCUAUUGAUAUCAUUUAAGAUUUUAAUUAUUUAUUUUCUAAUUAAUGUUAAGACUUUAAUUAUUUGUUAGCCUAGGAUUUUUAAUUUAAUUAAUAUUUUACUAUUUAAAAAUUCUAAUGUUGGAUGGAAUCAAUUAAUUAAAUAAAUUUUAAUUAUGAAUCUUUUUAUAUAAAAAAAAUUAGAACUAUUAUAAAUAAGGGAUGUUUAAUUUAUUUUUGAGAGAUUAAGAUUAUAAUUUAAAUUUUUAUAAAAUACCAAGAAAGUUUUCUAAAUUUUUCAACAACUUAGGUCAUGAAAUUAUAAUAACCCUAUAAAAAACAAAUCAAAAUAAAACAUGAAGACCAAUUCAUAAUCAAUUCAAUCUUGAUAGAAAAUUUUGAAAAUAAUAUUAAAUUAAAAAAAGACAAAAAAAACUACUUGGAUCAACCUGUCAAACUUGUAACUCAAGUCAUGAGAUUUGGAUAAUCCUAUAAAAAGCAUAUAAAAAAAUAUGUGAAACUAAAUUUCCAACCAAACCAAUAUUGAAGAAUGAAAAGAAAAAAAAAGAAAUAACUCAAGUCAACCCAGACUAACCUGUUAGACUAUCCCGCUGAAUCAUGAGAUAUUGAUAACUUUAUAAAAUAAAAAUAAAUAAAUAUUAUAAAAAUUUAUUUUCAAUAGAUUUAAUGUUGAAUAUGUUAGUACGGGGAUAACUUUAUAACUUGAGUUUAUAUAUUAUUAUCAAUAUUUUUCAAAUAUUGAAAAUUCAUUAAUUUUGUGAAAUCUAAUGUUAAAAAAGGAAGGACAUUCCUCCAUAAAUAACGGAUAGCUAAUAUAUGUUUGAGGAAUGAAUGCCUGAUUAACACUUCUUUUAAAUUUCAAGGUGUCAAAUAACCAUUUCAUCAGUUUUGGUUGGUUUAAUGGAUGGAGAUAGACAGAAGGGAGGAUGGGGGAAACGAAUAAUCCUAAUUCGAAAAUAAUAUGUAAUAUUAUUUUAAAAAGUGUUUUUUUUGUAAUGUAGUGUAAUAUUAUUUUUAAAGUGUUUUUUAAAUUGUAAUUUAUUGAAAUUUUUUUUUUUUUUUUAUAUUAGUAAAUUAAAACUACUAAAAAUUAACUAAAAAUAUCAAUGUAAUAUUUUUAAGAUAAAAAAUAUUUUGAAAAACAUAGAUAUAACAAUAAAAACAAAUAAUUUUAAUGUAGUUAAAUAUAAGCAAGAGGAAGAAUUGAAAUUUGAAACCCCAAUGAAAGUUUGAGGGGGUAAUUUAUACAAACGAGAGAAAUCAAUUUAUUAAGAUUUAGUAGAUUAAUUGAAUAGAUUAUUUUUUUUUACAAAAUUUAACAUUAAAAACCCUUUAACACGUUUCCAAUCACAACAAAAGCUAUAUAAGUAAUAGGUAGUGACCUAUGGAAGCCAGCAAUCCACCUAAGUCAGGUAAGCAGAUGUUGUUAGAAUCUUGGAUUGCUUCUCGUCCUGUUUCUCAACUUCUUCUUUUACAACCUCUUCCUCGUCCUUUUUAGCCUCAUUUUUCUCUACCAUUUCAGCUUCCUUCAUAGUGAUGAACUCGAUGAGACUUUGAAG